GCCUGGGUGGCUCAGUAGGUUGAGCGUCCGACUUCAGCUCAGAUCAUGAUCUCACAGUUCAUGGGUUUGAGCCCCAUGUCAGGCU
This 85-nucleotide transfer RNA is filed under the name Felis catus (domestic cat). It matches the Rfam family "tRNA". From Rfam's summary of the family: Transfer RNA (tRNA) molecules are approximately 80 nucleotides in length. Their secondary structure includes four short double-helical elements and three loops (D, anti-codon, and T loops). Lineage: Eukaryota; Metazoa; Chordata; Mammalia; Carnivora; Felidae. The record is from Rfam by way of RNAcentral.